GCAGAGGGUGGUGGGGAGUUGCACCAAGGGCUCCGCGGUGCUGUGUAACUGUGGAGCUCCAGAGCCAUGGUGUUGACAAAAUCAUGUGCACAGGGGCCAGCUGACUCCAU
Small nucleolar RNA from Rana temporaria (common frog), 110 nucleotides. RefSeq annotates it as small nucleolar RNA SNORD67. The transcript has a single exon. NCBI's taxonomy places the organism in Eukaryota, Metazoa, Chordata, Amphibia, Anura, Ranidae. The record is from RefSeq and is a predicted model, not a curated record.